RNAcentral lists this unclassified non-coding RNA (243 nucleotides) under Leptodontidium sp. Its description in RNAcentral is "partial contains small subunit ribosomal RNA, internal transcribed spacer 1, and 5.8S ribosomal RNA". The stretch from base 1 to 46 matches the Rfam family "Eukaryotic small subunit ribosomal RNA", at positions 1786 to 1831 of the family's 1831-position model. Lineage: Eukaryota; Fungi; Ascomycota; Leotiomycetes; Helotiales; Leptodontidiaceae. The record is from RNAcentral.
AAGUCGUAACAAGGUUUCCGUAGGUGAACCUGCGGAAGGAUCAUUAAUGAGUUCAUGCCCUAACGGGUAGAUCUCCCACCCUAUGUUAUUAUUACUUUGUUGCUUUGGCGGGCCGUCAGGCUCACGCCCGACUACCGGCUCCGGCUGGUAAGCGCCCGCCAGAGGACCCCAAACCCUGAAUAUUAGUGUCGUCUGAGUACUAUAUAAUAGUUAAAACUUUCAACAACGGAUCUCUUGGUUCUG